RNAcentral lists this ribosomal RNA (508 nucleotides) under uncultured bacterium. RNAcentral's name for it is "partial 16S ribosomal RNA". It matches the Rfam family "Bacterial small subunit ribosomal RNA", at positions 28 to 523 of the family's 1533-position model. The record is from RNAcentral.
GAUGAACGCUAGCUACAGGCUUAACACAUGCAAGUCGAGGGGAAACGAUAGAGAAAGCUUGCUUUUUCUAGGCGUCGACCGGCGCACGGGUGAGUAACGCGUAUCCAACCUGCCCAUCACUUGGGGAUAACCUUGCGAAAGUAAUACUAAUACCCAAUGACGUCUCUAGAAGACAUCUGAAAGGGAUUAAAGAUUUAUCGGUGAUGGAUGGGGAUGCGUCUGAUUAGCUUGUUGGCGGGGUAACGGCCCACCAAGGCGACGAGCAGUAGGGGUACUGAAAGGAAGGGCCCCAACAUAGGAACUGAGACACGGUCCAAACUGCUACAGGAGGCAGCAGUGAGGAAUAUUGGUCAAUUGACGAGAGUCUGAACCAGCCAAGUAGCGUGCAGGAUGACGGCCCUAUGUGUUGUAAACUGCUUUUAUAAGUGAAUAAAGUGGGAGUCGUGACUCUUUUUGCAUGUACCUUAUGAAUAAGGACCGGCUAAUUCCGUGCCAGCCGCCGCAGUAA